This 346-nucleotide unclassified non-coding RNA is filed under the name Hevea brasiliensis (rubber tree). Lineage: Eukaryota; Viridiplantae; Streptophyta; Magnoliopsida; Malpighiales; Euphorbiaceae. The record is from RNAcentral.
AAGGGCUGCAAUACAAUGUUUGAAGAGGAAAAGGCUUUAUGAGCAGCAAGUCGAGCAGCUUGGGAAUUUCCAACUACGAAUUCACGAUCAGAUGAUCAUGCUUGAAGGCGCCAAAGCUACAACCGAAACAGUCGAUGCAUUGAGGACUGGAGCAUCAGCAAUGAAGGCAAUGCAGAAAGCAACUAACAUUGAUGAUGUUGACAAGACAAUGGAUGAGAUAAAUGAGCAGACGGAGAAUAUGAAGCAAAUUCAAGAAGCUCUUUCUGCUCCUAUUGGAGCAGCUGCUGAUUUUGAUGAAGAUGAAUUGGAAGCUGAACUUGAGGAGUUGGAGGGAGCAGAACUGGAG